GCUAAGUGACCGUUUCCAGCCAGCAGCCGCCGCUGCCUUGGACAAGGGGAUGUCUUCCAUGUCGGGCGGGUGGCGGGACGUGGCCGGGGUGCGCAUCGCCCCGCCCGAGCUGCGCUUCACCGCCACGGUGCCGGGGCGCCGUUACUGUGCCGCGCUCAGUAUCCAGAACCUGCGGGCGCAGAGCUGUCGCCUCCGGCUGCUGCCGCCGCGCCGGCCCCAGUUUAAACUGAUUGUGGACAAUCCAGACAAACCUGUUGCACCUGGACUUCAAGUCAAAGCUUUUGUAGAAUACUAUCCUGAGACUGAAGAAGAUCUUCAAGAUAGUUUACCUCUUGAAGUAGAAGAAGACGUACUUUAUAUCCCCCUGGUUGGGUUAAUUCCAUCCUGUCAUCUGGAAACUGAGCCGGAGGUUGAUUUUGGUAUAGUGAUAGCAAGCAGUAAAAUAAUUAGUAAAGAGAUUAGUAUUGCUAACCGUGGAUCAUUAUCAGGUGCAUUUAAAAUAUCAUAUAAUGGGGAUAUCCUACUUGACAUAGAACCUACCAGUGGAGUGGUAGAGCCUAAAUCUUUAAAGGUGGUUAAAGUGCAUAUCUGUACAGAUGUACCAAGAGUCAUCAGAGAAAUGAUAAAAGUGAAGAUGGAAGGAGGUAGCUGCAAGGAAGUAUGGAUCACAGCUGUUGUUAUUGAACAAGUUCUUAAAGUUCUAGGACCAUCUUCUGGAAAUGUAUUGGAAUGCGUUAAUUUUGGAUCAGUUUAUUUUGGGUCUUCAAAGACUAAACAAAUAACUUUACACAAUGAUAGUCCAGAGCGUAUGGACUGGGUAGCAGUGCUGGAAGACAAUGCUGUUGGAGGAGAGAUGGGAACAGAUCUACAGAAGAGUGCAGAUGCUGUUUUACAAGAUUUAAGCUUUAUGAAGAAAACAAGAGAUUUAGAUGUUUCCACCUUGAUCUGGUGCAUUCCUGAUCAGGGAACCUUGCUACCUUAUGAGAAAUCCAUGGUUACAUUAUGCUUUUGUCCAGAGAAACUUGAAGGGACCUUUGUAGUGAAUGAUUCAUCACCAAAACAAGAUUAUCUAUUGUUUCUGAGAUUUGAGGCUGCUGGUAAUAAAGAUCUGCAGACCCCCAGCGAUGGUACCACACCAAGUACAAAAAAUCGUCCUCAUCACACGGAAUUGGCUUUGACAGGUUCUGCUCUUCCUGUCAUGUUAACUUUUAAUCCAGGACCAGUAAUUAAGUUUAUGGACUGUUUCCUGGGUGAACAAACACAAGUUUUGUGCACACUCAAAAAUGAAUCUGAGUUCCUUCCAGUAAAAUUCAGUUUCCGCAAGACUGCUCACUUUAAUAUUUCUCCUGAAAAGGGAAAAAUAGAAAAAAGUUCUACUAAGGAGUUGAUAUUUUCAUUUUGUCCACAUCAGAUUGGAGUAUUUGAAGUGAAGCAGGUUAUCGACAUAAUUGGUAGAGAACUAGAGAAAAACAAUUUACAAGUUUCAAAGACAAAAUCUUUUCUCCAGAUAUAUUUGAGCUUUAUUGGUGUGUGCAAAUCUAAACCAAAAACCAUUCUAUUCAGAAUUAAUUCUGGUAUAACACCAAUGGUUACCAAUCCAACUGGACAGUUUGUAGCUGAUGGCACAGGACAGUGGACUGAUACUGCACCUAUGGCAAUACUUAAAUCAACCCAAACACAAAUUCAUACCCACAAAAUAAACAGGAAUUGUGAGGGGGAUGCACUUAUAGCUUUUCCUAACGACCGCUCAACCAGCAUUAGACCUAGUGAACGGAAUAAAAAGUACAGGACUAUUUUUACAAAGACUCAGAGAUAUAAUUAUAUAGAUCCAGAGUUUUCUUAUACUGACUAUGAGCGACUGUCAAAGGAAGUACAUAAGGAAUACUAUGCAGAUUUCAUUUCUAGUUUAAGGCAGCGUCGCUUAGAGAAAGAUGCCACCAGGCAGUUCUAUAUUUAUAAUAAUUCUGUGAACAUAGGUCUUAAACCAAAAGAAGGGAUUAUGUCACCAAAGAUAUCAGUCACAGAUCUUCACAAGGAGAAGCUACAGUUGAAAAUGCUUUCUUUGGAUGAGAAUUCCCUAUUAACUAGUAAAAAACUGGCAGCAAGUGCUUCAGUCAAAGAAGUUUGGAGUGGGCUUAAUUCUAUGCCGUCUUCUACUCAAGAGAAGGAUGAUUGUAAUCUAACUUUGACACUCAAACAGCUUCAUCAAAUACUUAUCGGUCCUUCUACUAUGAACUUUGGUGAUGUUUGUGUGCACUCUACAACUGUCAGAAAACUGCAUAUCAUCAAUAACUUGUUGGUUCAUAUAUGGUUACAAAUUGAGAUUGAAACUGAUGAAUUAGCAGUGAAAGGUCAAUUGUGUCAUGUGGUGCCUCCUCUUACAAAGACAUGUAUUCCAGUAGAAUUCAAGGCAAGAAUUUGUGGAAUGUUUAAAAAAUCUUUCACUUACACAAUAAACGGCAAACAUCCUGGGCAUGUGCUGGUUAUUGCAGACGUAGUGCCUGUUGAACUUCAUCUGUCUGCAAGAGAAUUGAUUUUAGAUCCUAUUCCUGGCUACCUGCCAGAGACAGAAUUUAGAACAACAGUCAGGGUGUCUAACCCUGGAAACCGUUCUGUUGAGUUUACUUGGAAACCUGUGACUACAAAAAAAGGAACUGCGUUUUCUAUACAGCCAACCAAAGGCUUUGUGGAGCCCUAUAGUGACCUGGAGUGUGAAGUUGUUUGGCAUCCAGGGUUCAACUCUGCAGAAGCAGGAGAAUUCCUUUUGUGUGUGCGUAAAGGAAACACAACUAGCUUGAAAUGCUUUGCAAAGCUUGGUCCCACAAAAGUUCAGGUUAUGGAACAAAGGGUACCUUUCAGUCAUUGUCCACUGGCUUUACCUAUUUGUAAGACUGCCAUUCUUCAAAACAUAGGAUACAAUCAUGCCUACUUCCAAGUUCUUCAUUCAAAUCCAGUGCCUGGAAUGGUCAUCACCCCUCCUGAAGGGGUGGUACCUGUGGGAGGCCAUGCUGAUCUCAAAAUCAGUUUCACUGCGGAUGCAAAAAUGAAUUUUGAUACAAGAGUGGAGGUAGCAAUUCGGAACUCAGGAGUACUUACAUUUAGGAUUAGUGGAUUUGUAGAUGUUCCUGAAAUAAAGAUUGACAUGGAGCUAUUUGAUUUUGGUGGUGUUUACGUUGGUUCCACAAAAUCAAUUCCAUUUUUACUGCAGAACAGAGGGCAUACACGCACCAGAGUGAUGUUUGAUUUUUCCAAGUAUAAGGAUUUUAAACUUGAUUCUAACAAUCAGACAGAGGAUGACAGCUGUUCUUCAGAGUCUUAUUUGCAUUCAGUUACUCUGCAGGGAAAGUCAUCUCUGCAGUGCUCAUUGUCCUUCAUGCCAAAAGAGGUGGCGGCAUAUGACUUCAUUCUUCCAGUUAACACUCGUUGGUAUGACCUUCCAUUGCUACAGCAAUGCUCUGCAUCUGCAACAUCUAUUGGAUCUGUAAAGCAUGUCAUUGCUCCACAGCCACAGAGGGUGACUGUGGCUAUUCCAAUCUGUAGAGUUAAAGCAGUUGUACUUAAAUCACCACUGGAGUUGUCCUCAACGGAACUUAUAUUUACACGACAUUCGAGUGCUAUACAUUCCAAUCUUCCUGAUGAAUGUUUAGAUUCUCAGAUGCUUGACCUGAAGAAUAUCUCAAGGCAACAGUUGACAUGGAAGUUGAAUUGUGAUGAUGCAGGCAAAAAUAUGGAAGACAGUAUUUUUAAAUUUAGUCAGCAGACAGGAUUUCUUGAUCCAGGACAAAAAACCAGUAUUGCUGUGUUCUUCUGCUCUUCUUAUCCUGGGACGUACGCAUCUGAAACAUCAGUGUGUCUAAAUGAUAAUCCAUCACGUUACAAAGUAACAUUGUCUGGUACUGUCAAGUCACCAAAAAUGAAUUUUGAUCCUCCCUUUCUAAAGCUGAUGCCAGUUCCUCUGGAUGUGAAAACUGAAACAGCCAUCAAAAUUAUUCCACAAGAUUAUUUAAGGAAAUCCCGAAUUCAGGUUGAACUUCCAGAGCUUGAACUUGAAGAUGGUGACAGGAUUUCCCCUUUAUCUAUACAGUUCCCAGAAGGACAAGAUAUUAUUCCUUUAUUAGAUGGCACAAAUAUGGAACUAAGUUGUCAUAUUAGCUUUGAAUCAUCUACUCCAGUGUCAUUUUUAGGGAAUAUAUUCUUCAUUGAUGAAGAUGAAAACAGGUUUUCACUUCAGAUUGCUGCAACAGCAGAGAAUUGCAUUCUUACUAUAUACUCGUAUUUGGCAUUGCACCGCUCUGAACAACAAAUUACCUUGAUAAGCAAUGAAGACUGCAGUAGUGGAGAAGUUGUUCUGCAUCCAUUUUCUUCACCACAAUCACUUUCCAGUAGUACUUCCUCAAGUUCCUUUGGUCUAAUUGCUGAAACGUAUGAUUCCUGGUCAGAGUCAGAUAUUACUCUUGAAAAUGAUGAAAGUGCUGAGAUGAGUGAAGAGAGCGAAACUGACAGUCAAAGUGAUGAGAGUGAAAAUAAAUCUGAAUUACCAUUUUCUUCUAAUGAAGACAAAGAAGAGAUCAUCUUUCAGAAAACUGUAACUGCUGUUCAGAAUUGGUUCACUCUCUUUGGCUGGUCUAAGGGACCAAAUCCCAUUUCAAUACCACAUUCAUUGAGAAGUGAUGUCUGUAAAGUCCAAAUGACUUCUUCCCAAGAAAAGGUUUUUAAACACAAUCUUGACAAAGGUACUAUUUACAACAUGUUAUUCCACCUGAGCGGACAGUCGUUACCAGGCAUUACAUUGAACCAAUCAUUGCCCCUUGAUCCAGUUGAACGAAUGUUACAGCUCCACUGGCAGUAUUCUACGUUGCUUACUUUCCUUAAAAGCCGAGGAGCAAGUCUUCCCCAUGUUAUUCCAGAAUACCUAUUUGAACCUGAUGAUUAUAAGAAGUGGACUAAAAUGCAAGCUGUGCUGCAGGCUCAUGCAGCUAACUCGAAAAAAGGAGUUGAGAAAAACUUAGUAAUAUUUAGCAACAAACAACUGUUAAUUCUGGAGGACAGUGUAUUUGAGACAAUCAGCAAACAAGCUUGGACAGAUGUGCUAUUGCAGGUGUACAAGGUGUUUGUUCUACCACGUGUUUCUUCACAUAAUACUGCUGAUCUGAUCAAUUUGGAAAAGAUGCAGAACGUGCCAAGAAUAAACUCAGAAAUUUUAUCCAGUAAUAUAUAUUCUCCAUAUGAACGAAUCAUCCUCACUUGGUUGAAUAAAAAUUAUGAGAAUAAUCGAAAAACUGUGUGGAAAGAUGCUCAAAAAGGUGAAGUACCACUGAGGAGAUGGAUAGUAAAUUUUGAUCGGGAUCUUCUAGAUGGUCUGGUAUUGGCAGCACAGAUGGCAGCUUACUGUCCAUUCUUGAUUGCUACUCACUUUGUAAGGAUGUAUACUAAUCCAAGAACUUCUGCACAGUUUCUGCACAACUGUUUGAUACUUGUGAAUGCUAUGCAUGCAGUCAGUCUGACUAUAGACGUAAAGGCCACUGAUAUCUGUGAUCCAAACCCAAUCACGAUGCUUAUUCUGUGUGUCUACCUAUAUGAAUACCUUCCACACUACUUACCUAAGAAGACUAUAGAAUUUACAGGUGCUCUCCAUGCAACUGUUGUUAAACAGGUUCGUCUGAAAAACCCAAGCAUUAAAACUUUGGCAUACAACGCUACUCUUGUAGGAAGAGAUGCUGAUGAUUUCUCGUUGCCUGAAGGAAACACUGUAAUCAUUGCCCCUAAGAAACAAACAACUAUAAAUGUGGAAUUCACUAGUCGCUUUCUGCACCCUACUGAAGCAACGUUGCUACUGAUCUCAAAGCGAGUGUGCGGAAUACGUGGUGCCACACUUACAUUCUCCCUGAAAUCUGAAGUCAAGCAUAUUGAACCAGCUGAUAUAUUAAAAUGCAAAUCUCCGUGUUAUGAGUUGAAGAAAGUGCUCCUAAAUGUUACUAAUCCCUUCAGAACUGAUGGCAUAUUCAGGGUCAUUUUGCUGGAAUCCACAAGUUACUUAAGUCAGCCAGAACAAGUACAUCAAGCCAGGCAAUUAAAGCAAGAGCAAAUGGUCAGUUCUGAAAAUAAUGUGUUAGACUGUAAAAACAGUACACUGCCUGAAGAGCCAAAUGAAGACAGAAACUUUAAUUGCUCUGACCAGUCCAGCCUCCUGCAUGAGUUCUUCAGUCCCGUGGAAAAACUGUUCUUGGCCGGCAGAAGUUCUGCAGACUUAGAGAUUCACUUCCUUCCAUUUUAUCUGGAAAAACGUUACUGCACUGUCAUUCUGGUUAAUGAAAUGAUUGGAGAAUUUGUAUACCUUGUAGAAGGAACAGGUGAUACACCUUUGCCUUCAGAGCUGCUUCCCAUGUAUAGUCCAAAUGUUUUGCAUGUUAGCAGUACAUUAGAAGGUCCAAGUGCAGUAGAGCCAGUUUUAUAUUUGAAAUGUAGUCUUGGACAGACUCUUGAAGAAAAACUCAGGAUUCCACUGAUCAAUGAAUCAAGAGAAAGGGCUCUGGCUAUUGUUGCUCAACAGCAGAUGUCAACUAUUGAAUAUGAAAGAAGAAAGAUCACAGGAACUCUGGAUAGCAGCAGUGUCCGAGCUGCAGCUGCAUUGCUAGGGCUGUCCAGAAUACAGAGAUAUGAACUCUUAAAACCACGUGAACUCCCCCCUGAGUUGAAGUACAUAGAUUAUAGUGUAGAAGUGAGCAUGCAAGAGUUCUUUGUGGUUCCUGAGAAGCUCUCUAUUCCAGUGUUGGCAUCUAGCAGAGUUAAUUUGAAAGUUCCUUCAGAAAAAGUGGUUUCACCUGAGAAAAUAGGUAGAACUGAUGCAGUUGAGCUUCCUAUAACAUUUGUUCCUCGGGGUGCUGGUUGCUACCACUGUCAGAUUCUCCUGAAGUCCUCACAGGAUUUUCGUGUCUAUGCAAUUAAAUGUGUAGUGAAUAGAGAUGAUGUUGAAGCAGAGAUUGAAUUUGUAACUCCAGCUUACCAGGCAGUAAUUCAGAAUAUUCCAAUAAGAAACAUGUCUAGCCAGGACUGGAGACUUGAAGCAGUUUUGGAAGGAGUGGGCUUUUCUGGCCCUCCUUCAAUAUAUGUGGGUCUAGGUGAAAUAGCUCUGUAUCCUCUCAUGUUCAAGCCAAUUGCUGAGUGCUUAACAAUGGGAAGACUUAUUCUGCAAAAUACCACAGCUGGCACUGAAAGCAUCUUUAACCUUAAGGGAAUAGGGAAGAAACCUUUGGCACAGAAUCAUACUGUGAUACAUUGCCAAGUGAGACAAGUUACUGAACAACUAUUAUGGGUGCCCAAUUAUACCAAGAACAGAUUAACGUACAAGGUAUCUUCAGAUCUUUCAGUGGUGAGUGGUGCACCAGUUCUUACUGUGGAUCCAGAUGACAUAGUUCCUUACAGAUUGAGUGUAUCUCCAUGGAGACGAGGAGUCUUUCAAGGUGUAAUUUCAUUUGUUGCUGAAGAUGAAGACCAACAGCAGUCACAACGUAACAGCUCGCUGGAGAAGACAGAUGGUGAACAGGCAUUUCAGAAAUGUUCAACAAAGACACCACAAACUGUUGGUGCAGCAAACGCAGGAGGAAGUUCUUCAAAUUGCGAAGUGUGGUUUUCCUUAAAGGUUAACAGCAUACCUGCAGCACCUGAAAGAAAGAUAGAUGUGAAAUGCAGAGCUCUGGAUACUGUUGGAAUUGAUAUUCCUAUCAAUAAUCCUGCAGAUGAAGUUCUUGAACUGAAGGUAGUGCUGGAGAAUCAGUCUCUUUCUGGACAAAAAACUUUCACUCUUUUGCCAAAACAAUCACAUUUUUAUCAAGUAAAGUUUUCCCCAGCUGUUGUUGGCACUUCACAUGAAAGUGUCAUAUUCCAGUCAGAUGUUGUUGGAGAGUUUUGGUAUGCAUUGAAGUUGAUUGUAGAGAAACCAUUACCAACUGGUCUACCUGAGAUAGCAUGUGAGCUUGGAAAGUCAGGUGAUUUCUACAUACCUCUCAUUAAUCCUACACAUGAAACUCUGAAACUAGAAAUUGCUAACAGCAAUCCUAGCAAUUUUUCAACUAAGAUUGAUCCAAAGCAUCAUCUAAUUGUUGCUCCUCAUUCCACCAUUGAAGUACCCAUGCAAUUCUGUCCAUCUGCUUUAGGAAGAGGAAAUCACAAGGCGUCAAUAACCUUCAAAUGUUCUCAGAUUGAAGAAUGGAUAUUUUACCUUUUGGGGACUGGUCUUCCUCCUCGGUUAAUGGAACCAACUACCAUAAGUGCAUACAUUGGCCAGGGUUCUUCUGUCAUCAUAACCUUCAAAAAUCCAACUCAUGAAAAUGUGUUGGUAGAUGUCAUGCUAACAGAUCAGGAGCAGUCCAGCUGUAAUCUCAGUUCAUCUGUUCUAUCUGGGUCAGCCAGUAAGGAAUCUGCUUUCCACCUCUUGUUCAAAAAUACACGAGAUACUUACUGGAGUGCUGGUGAUCUCUCUUUCUACUGCCUGAUAUCAAUCCUCCUUUUCUAGAUGAGUUCCUGAAGAAAUAAAUAACAAUCCUUCCCUAGCAGCAGCUAUUGUCUGCAAGUAUCCUGGAAGCUGCCCUUUCCAAAUCCUGAGGUUGAUGGUAGAAAACAAACCUGAUUAUACUGGAUUAACAUCUGUGUCACUAGUGUUAAUUUUAGCAGGGCCAACUGUGGUUUAGUUCCCCAUACGACGCCAAGAAGACACAGUGAGCUCUUCUUCAUCUCUCUUAUCAGUUUGAGGGAACUGAACUGAGUGUUGCUGUUCUGGGUACUGUAAAUGGGAAGUACUCUGAGAUGCUACAGACUUAACAGCAAUGCAUCAAGGAGAUAGUCCUUUCAACAUCUAGAAACUUUGUGAUCAAAGUACAUUACUGAUAUGAAAAAUACAUGACUUGAAGUGGGAUAAAGUUAAAUGAGAGGGUGGUGACUCUCUUCAAAGAUAUUGCAGGAUAUUUUGCUCAUCGUAAUCACUAUUUUAUCAGUGAGGCACUACGUUAGGUGCUUGCUCUUAAACAUUUUCCUAUGCUACCCUCUGUAGUAGCAUAGGCAACAAAUGCAUUUUUACAUGUCUGUAAUCCUUGCAAAGAAAAUCUCUGCUAUAGGGAUCUACUGCAUCAUUACUUUUGUUACUUCACAGUGCUAUGCUUUCUAGAACUGACACUAAAAAUUACAUAGAACUAAACUACAGUGCAGUGUUCCACAGAAGUGAAGCAGUGAAUUUGAAAUACGCUUAUUUUAAGUAUCUAAUUUAGAGUUCUAGUCUUAAGUUUCAGAAGUUGGGUCCAAGGAUUCUUUUACAGAAUCAGUGUUCUCCACUGUCUCUUUGGUGAGGUGAGAGGCAAGGCUUAAAAAACAGGCUUGCAAAUGAAGAAAUGUGGGAGAAGACAUGCUUUUCCAUAGGGCCGUUGACUCUAAUUGUGAUGCUUGGUUUGAAUCAAAUAGCUUCAGUCUUGUAAAGAGUCAGCUGAGCUUAUGCUGAUAACUAUGACAGUUUCCUAAGGGCCCACGGGACAGUAAAAUAGAACCAAGAUGUUAUAAAAAUCUGGCUCAAAGCUUUUUACCAAAUGUGAUGUGGCUUUAUUCACAAAAAGUGUCUUGCUGUGAAUUUAUUAUGAAGAGUUUGUGGAUUGACCUAGUCAUGCUGAUUUGUGCUAAAAUUGCCCAUAUCCAGCAGUUGCUCAUCCACAUUUUCUAAAUGGGAACAAGAAAAGAGAAGCAUGAAGAAUUAUGUGGCUCUUGCAAUUAGGCCUAUUUCAUUCACCUUAUUAACUAUGCAAAAUCAUAAGGAAAUAAAUCUUUACUAGCAGUUAAUAAUCAGUUGGUUAUUUGACAGCUGCAGGCAAGCCCAGUGAUAUAAAAAUUACUGUCAUUAUGAACAGCUUCUAAUAAGAAGAAUGUUUACUAAAAAUGAGAACACAUUCCAUUUCAACACUUACAUGAAAAUUUGUCUUUUCAUGAUGUUUAAUAACUAAUUUUCUGCUAGAAUGACCCAGAGUGAUACCAUAUGUGUUCUGUAUUAAAAUUUACUGUUAAAAUAUCUCUACGUCCUGUAACAGGCAUAAUUAAGCUGCUGUUCAGACAGUAUAUCCAAAGUAUAUGUAAUGCAGCUAAAUAUCAGUUUACAGUCUGUUCUAUUUCUCAUGUUGAAAUAGUUGCAAAUGGUAUUAGUCAAACCCUGUUCUACUUCAUACCCUCUGAAAGAUUUUUUUUGUUGUUAUAUUACUUAUUUAAAGUUGCAAGCCACCGUGAGUACAUUAUUCUGGCAAAACACUAUCGACCAAAAAUUAGCUUGAACAACUCCUUGUGUAUUUUCUAAUUACUGUGAUGCUGAUGCAACAGCAAUUUUGUGUUUGCAAUUUAUAGGCACCACUGUAGAGGGCAUGGAGAUGGAAUACUUUCUUGGUAACCCUAGCAGAAUACAUGAGGUUCACAGACAAAUAGUAUCUAUUUGGUUGAUCUUACUGAUUUCUACUAAAAUUGUAUAUGUGUACUUUAUUGUCUGCUGUGUUACUAGGCGUAGUAUUGCCAAAAAAGCUGAGAAAGUGUUUUCCUACGUGUAUAGCAAAAUGUAGGGGGAAUGUUUUUAAAGAAAACAAAGCAGUUUGUGGCAAGUUAAAGCUACUCUUGUGUUUUUGAGAGAAGAAAGAAGCUACUUCCUCUGCUUGACACAGCUUUUUUGCAACUUGAGGGGCAGCCUGCCAAAAUGGCUACAAGGGGAAAAGAGAAAAAAUCCAGGAAUGAGAUACAAUCCACAGAUAAAGUUGCACAUGGUUGCAGUGGAAUAGAUGUGUAAGUAGGGAACUUUGCCUUUAAGUCUCUCUGUCUGUAGGAAGGUGAACGUGAAAGUUUCCCUGCUGACAUUUUUGGAGAACACAGCAGUCUUUGUUUAUCAGAAGAAGGAACCACAGGGAAAGCAGUGCUUCUCCCAUACAUUCUAACUUGUGGAGAUUAAGUCACUGUCGGGGAACAAUACACAUAUUUCUCUGUUAGCAUGUGUACAUUGUAGUAGGCAUGAAAAACGAUCUCAAAUAUUGAGAACAUAUAACAUAGUUGUGAGAUUUACUCAUAACUAAGAGCUUUUUCUGCAGAAAGACUAAAGCUGAAACUCUAGCCCGGAGAUGUCAGUUCCAUGAAAUUUCAAGAAUUCUUUAACAGAUUGAUAAUGAAAAGACUGUAUGAUAUUCUUGUUCUAAUUUAUGUAAUUUAUCUAUAACUUUAUUGCUGGAACAUACCCUGAGUUUGGUAUUCUGACACUUGGAAGACUGGCAAGCCAUUGGAAAAAGGUCCUUUAUUAUGGAAACCGGUUAGCUCCAGAAGAAAAACUGGGCAUCCCAGUGUUAUUCAUGCCAGAUACAAUGAAAAUGUAUGAGGCUGUGAUGGUAAUUCAUGUAAUGAGGGAAAAUGGUGAGAACUGGCCUUAUGAGGGUUCUGCUG
Numida meleagris (helmeted guineafowl) is the source of this 11442-nucleotide RNA transcript. It is a transcript of the gene named cilia and flagella associated protein 47, with no coding region annotated. The transcript is spliced from 59 exons. The record is from RefSeq and is a predicted model, not a curated record. Lineage: Eukaryota; Metazoa; Chordata; Aves; Galliformes; Numididae.